Molecule: long non-coding RNA, 851 nt
Filed under: Cricetulus griseus (Chinese hamster)
Lineage: Eukaryota; Metazoa; Chordata; Mammalia; Rodentia; Cricetidae
Description: lncRNA (ENSCGRG00015013257.2)
Source: RNAcentral
CAGGGACAGGCAGGAAAUUGCUCUCUUCCUCUUCCUCCUGCUCUCUUCUCUGGAGCCGCCAUGUGAGCCCGACAGGAGAGGAGGCAUGCCGCCACCAUCCUCAGCCAGAUCUCUUAGAUCCACAAGCCUUCCUGAAAACCUGGCAAAAGUGGGACCUGUGAAGCUUAGUGGCAUACUUUCAAAGACUAGAGAAAAUUAAGGAGCACAUGCAAAGGUGUGAGUCACUCAGCGUCCUGCCAUCCUUCACUGUCUCAAAAGGGAUGCUUUGGCUUUCUAAUUUAUGUUCACACCAAAUGGGGGUGCAGCUCAGAAGAUGCCCAGCUUAUCCAACCCCCCUUCAAGCAAAAGAUUCAAUGAAGGCCAGCAUUGUUUAGUCUGCAUAAACAGAGGCCAGACCUGUGAAGCCAGGAAGACAAAAAGCCCGCCCUCUAGCGGUCACACUGGGCAGCGCUCAUCACUCCCGGGAGCACCAACAGGAAGGCGGGAGCGUGAGGGCUAAAAUGACGGAGAGAUCCAUUACUGCGCGCAGCGGGGGUGAGGAUGCUGCGCGGAGCUGGAUCCUGGCACUUUACAGCUCUCUGGGUCGCCAAGACCUCACUAGCCUGGGACGGGACGUUGCUGAGCAGAGGGAGGACCCGCUUAGCCUGUGGCUCUCCUUUAUGCUCAGGACUGUGCCCUUGCCGUGUUCCCUAACCAAUCACUCCCGCCAAACCCCUAGUAGAGCGAUUGACAGCAUCCUAGUUUUUAAAUUGGCAGGGCCAAAAAGUGGACCGGGCGCGGGAAAGGGGCGGGGGGUACAUUAAAAAUAACAGAACUCGAGGGCCCUCCUGCUGAAACAGGGCGGACAUCAG